UUCCUUGCAACCUUAUUAAAUGAAUUUACUUUAUUCUUUCCAAAUGUAGACGACCUUGGUACAGUAAAUCUUCCAGACUUGUAGGUGUCAUUCAAAAUCUUAGAGUGCUCUGGCAUAACUUCUGUUUUCACCAUUGUUGUCAACUGAUUAACGUCCUUUGUUUUGGUGGCCACCUUGCAAGUUUGAAAGCUCUCGUAUUUGACUCGAGAACAUUGAUCGAGAUGGUGUGAUUCUUUGGAGAUUGUCCAGAUGGCAGCAAUUUUUCUUUUGCCCUUUUACCACACUUUUCUUACUUUGCAAAUGCAGUCCUCGUCUUUCUUGGAUAGGUUUUGUCAAAAAUAAGUUUCUGACUGACAAAUUCAACUCCUGAGGAGAUCACUAUUGAAGAAAAGAGCCAGUGAAAGAUUCCAAAAAGAGUCCCCAAGAGCCACCAAGUUUGAAGACAAUAAAAGGGCAAAAACUAUCUCUGCAGCCCGUGAAGAAGAACAGUAGAUUACUGUGUUUGUGAAGCUUUUGCAAAGAUAAGUUUGUUUGCAAAUGUGAAGAUUAAUGUUCUGCUUGUAAUCUACAGCAGCAGACUCCACACGUGGCCCCUUCUUUAUUCCAAUAUAAGGUUACUAAUUCGAGUUGAAUUUGUUCUCUGUUGAUUUCCACCAAAAUGUGGUGACUGUUUUUACUUCCAGCGCUCCAGGUCUGCUGUGCACCAGGGCAUUUAGAAGAUUUGCUGCCAAAUUUGUCUUUAGCGCUGUUUUUGUGAUGAUGAUGGCAGGUGUAGCUUUUUCUGUUGUGGUUGAGGAAUUGUUGCCUAACCCUCUUUGACCAUAGGCAUUGAGAGUCUCCUUUGAUGGAGGGUGCAGCAACAGUAGCUGCAACAGAUUUAUGGCACUCUCCCUUGGUGAUUAGAGGAGCAUUUCCCCCACAACCAAAGGGGAAGUCUCGAUAAGAAGACACAGGCCGGGUGGGAUGUUUCACCGCAGAUACAAAACUUUUGAAAGAACAAGUAGGGGUUUGAAGAGAUGAAAAUGCAUUUUGACAUUCAAGAGAAGAUGCUGGAGAUAACGGUGACUUAUUCUUUUGAAGAUCUGAAUUUCCAGGAGGAAAAUUUGCAAAUGGUGAUGCGUAACGCCCACAACCAGGCGGAAAAUCACGUAUUACAGAUGGCUUUGCCUUCUUAACCUUAGAAACAUGGAAUUCUUUUACAGUACAAUUCUUGUUACUAGCUGUAUUACAGUGCAAGUAAUUAAAUCCCUCAGAACUGUCGUGCAAGUUAAACUGAGCUUGUUUCUCAAUAACUACUUCGUAGUCUGCCAAUGGUGAAUAUACUCCUUCCAUCAUUUCAUGGCAUCCAGAACGUAUACAACCUAUAAUGAUUCCUAUGAACAUGGUAAGCAAGCGUUCGAAUACCGAUGCAAGAACACUAGUAUCAAGAUGAACUUGCAAUAAAAUGACCAGAAAAGUGAAUGAUUUGCAAGAAUAAACUAGAUAAAGAUGACCAAAAGCAAUUUAAAAUUAUACAAGCAAAAAGAAGAUUAAACUAAACUAUCAUAAACUUCACUAACGGUUUACAGAACACCCGUGCAAGUUAAUGGAGCUUCUUUCUCAGUUAUUACUUCAUUGAUAAAUGACCUUCCAAAACAUGGUGCAACUCAGGCAGGUUCCUUGAUAGCGGUGUAAAUCAUGCAGUGGUUAGCGUAGUUACUAAGCGGAUAGUGCAACAAACAGUUAACCAUUCAUGCUCUGCAUGCUCUGCCUCUUUCACCGCCAAUAUUGUUAAUGCGGUUGCUCUGCCUUUGUUUCCUCCGUAAUUUCCAUCAUCUGCAGUGGUCUACGGUGGUUAUCUUUGUGUAAAUCUGCAUAUCUUGCAGUUGUAAAUGUACUAUGGUUAAUACAAGAGAUUUAUUUUUCAUUCUC
Long non-coding RNA from Cryptomeria japonica (Japanese cedar), 1911 nucleotides. RefSeq lists it as uncharacterized. Lineage: Eukaryota; Viridiplantae; Streptophyta; Pinopsida; Cupressales; Cupressaceae. The transcript has 2 exons. The record is from RefSeq and is a predicted model, not a curated record.